UACGUAGGGGGCGAGCGUUGUCCGGAAUCACUGGGCGUAAAGGGCGCGUAGGUGGUGGCUUAAGCGUGCGGUGAAAGCUCGGGGCUCAACCCCGAGUCGGCCGUGCGAACUGGGCUCACUGGAGCAUAGUAGAGGCAGGUGGAAUUCCGGGUGUAGCGGUGGAAUGCGUAGAGAUCCGGAAGAACACCGGUGGCGAAGGCGGCCUGCUGGGCUAUGGCUGACACUGAGGCGCGACAGCGUGGGGAGCAAACAGG
This 254-nucleotide ribosomal RNA is filed under the name uncultured bacterium. RNAcentral's name for it is "partial 16S ribosomal RNA". It matches the Rfam family "Bacterial small subunit ribosomal RNA", at positions 524 to 776 of the family's 1533-position model. The record is from RNAcentral.